RNAcentral lists this long non-coding RNA (224 nucleotides) under Elaeis guineensis (African oil palm). Its description in RNAcentral is "long non-coding RNA (EGUI_LNC019514)". Lineage: Eukaryota; Viridiplantae; Streptophyta; Magnoliopsida; Arecales; Arecaceae. The record is from RNAcentral.
GAGUUUCUUUCUUCAGACCAUUUUUGUAUUGAAGAAACAUCCUCAGAAGUGGGGAUGGUGGUUCUUCUGUCCUUGACUCCAUCAACAACUUUUCAAAAAACUUCGUUCCUCCAUCCACGAGUGGAAAGAUAAAUUUUUUUACAUUACCGUCAACCAUCUGUGGGGCUUCGACUGGACCUGGAUGACUCCCAAUCUCUUUUCAAACAGAAAUGAAAUAGUUCUGG